CACGCAGGCGGUGACUUAAGUGAGGCGUGAAAGCCCCGGGCUUAACCUGGGAAUUGCAUUUCAUACUGGGUCGCUAGAGUACUUUAGGGAGGGGUAGAAUUCCACGUGUAGCGGUGAAAUGCGUAGAGAUGUGGAGGAAUACCGAAGGCGAAGGCAGCCCCUUGGGAAUGUACUGACGCUCAUGUGCGAAAGCGUGGGGAGCAAACA
Molecule: ribosomal RNA, 207 nt
Filed under: uncultured bacterium
Lineage: Bacteria
Description: partial 16S ribosomal RNA
Rfam family: Bacterial small subunit ribosomal RNA
Source: RNAcentral